GCCUGGGUGGCUCAAUGGGUUAAGCUUCCGACUUCAACUCAGGUCGUGAUCUUAUAGCUCGUGGGUUCAAGCCCCACAUCGGGCU
RNAcentral lists this transfer RNA (85 nucleotides) under Felis catus (domestic cat). It matches the Rfam family "tRNA". Rfam says of the family: Transfer RNA (tRNA) molecules are approximately 80 nucleotides in length. Their secondary structure includes four short double-helical elements and three loops (D, anti-codon, and T loops). The record is from Rfam by way of RNAcentral. Lineage: Eukaryota; Metazoa; Chordata; Mammalia; Carnivora; Felidae.